Molecule: ribosomal RNA, 328 nt
Filed under: unidentified
Description: Chetoneura cavernae partial 16S ribosomal RNA
Source: RNAcentral
UUUUUUAAUUGAAAGCUUGUAUGAAUGGUUAAAUGAAAUAUAUUCUGUUUUAAAAAAUAGUAUGAAUUUAAUUUUUUAGUCAAAAAGCUAAAAUUAAUUUAUAGGACGAGAAGACCCUAUAAAGUUUUAUAUUUAAUAUAAAUGUAUUUUUAAAAUAAAUAAUAGUAUUAAAUAUUUUAUUGGGGAGAUAAUAAAAUUUAACCAACUUUUAUUAAUAAAAACAAAGAUUUUUGAAUUAAUGAAUUAUUAUUAAUAAUUUAAAAAUUAAAUUACUUUAGGGAUAACAGCAUAAUUUUUUUUUUAAGUUCAAAUUUAUAAUAAAGAUUGU